This 72-nucleotide transfer RNA is filed under the name Phrynosoma platyrhinos (Desert horned lizard). RNAcentral describes it as "tRNA-OTHER". It matches the Rfam family "tRNA". From Rfam's summary of the family: Transfer RNA (tRNA) molecules are approximately 80 nucleotides in length. Their secondary structure includes four short double-helical elements and three loops (D, anti-codon, and T loops). Further hydrogen bonds mediate the characteristic L-shaped molecular structure. tRNAs have two regions of fundamental functional importance: the anti-codon, which is responsible for specific mRNA codon recognition, and the 3' end, to which the tRNAs corresponding amino acid is attached (by aminoacyl-tRNA synthetases). tRNAs cope with the degeneracy of the genetic code in two manners: having more than one tRNA (with a specific anti-codon) for a particular amino acid; and 'wobble' base-pairing, i.e. permitting non-standard base-pairing at the 3rd anti-codon position. Lineage: Eukaryota; Metazoa; Chordata; Lepidosauria; Squamata; Phrynosomatidae. The record is from RNAcentral.
GCCAGUGUGGUUUAGUGGUUUGAGCAUUGGACUAUAACUCUAGAGAACAGGGUUCAAAUCCCUGCUCUGCCA